Molecule: transfer RNA, 74 nt
Filed under: Chitinophagaceae bacterium
Lineage: Bacteria; Pseudomonadati; Bacteroidota; Chitinophagia; Chitinophagales; Chitinophagaceae
Also listed under: 1 other name
Description: tRNA-Pro
Rfam family: tRNA
About the family: Transfer RNA (tRNA) molecules are approximately 80 nucleotides in length. Their secondary structure includes four short double-helical elements and three loops (D, anti-codon, and T loops).
Source: RNAcentral
CGGGACGUAGCGCAGUCCGGUAGCGUACUAGGCUGGGGGUCUAGUGGUCGCAAGUUCGAAUCUUGUCGUCCCGA